UGCCAGGGGCGUAGUGCAGGCCACACUUGGUCUUUCCCUUCUACAUAACAUAACAUACAUAACCAAUGGUGCCGGGGGCGUAGUGCAGGCCACAUCCGGUCUUUCUCUUACAUAGUGCCAGGGGCGUAGUGCAGGCCACACUUGGACUUCCAUAUCAUAUCAUCACGUCAUAACAUAUGAGGGCUAAUGGAUCAUUCAACAUUCAUCCACAUCAACAACAUAUUAUGCAAUGCAAC
RNAcentral lists this long non-coding RNA (236 nucleotides) under Manihot esculenta (cassava). RNAcentral's name for it is "long non-coding RNA (MESC_LNC009867)". The record is from RNAcentral. Lineage: Eukaryota; Viridiplantae; Streptophyta; Magnoliopsida; Malpighiales; Euphorbiaceae.